This 313-nucleotide ribosomal RNA is filed under the name uncultured bacterium. RNAcentral's name for it is "bacterial SSU rRNA". It matches the Rfam family "Bacterial small subunit ribosomal RNA", at positions 899 to 1217 of the family's 1533-position model. The record is from RNAcentral.
ACUCAAAGGAAUUGGCGGGGACCCGCACAAGCGGUGGAUGAUGUGGAUUAAUUCGAUGCAACGCGAAAAACCUUACCUGCCCUUGACAUGUCUGGAAUCCCGAAGAGAUUUGGGAGUGCUCGCAAGUGAACCGGAACACAGGUGCUGCAUGGCUGUCGUCAGCUCGUGUCGUGNGAUGUUGGGUUAAGUCCCGCAACGAGCGCAACCCUUGUCAUUAGUUGCUACGAAAGGGCACUCUAAUGAGACUGCCGUGACAAACCGGAGGAAGGUGGGGAUGACGUCAAGUCUUCAUGGUCUUUAUGGGUAGGGCUUC